AGACCCGAAACCCGGUGAUCUAGCCAUGGGCAGGUUGAAGGUUGGGUAACACUAACUGGAGGACCGAACCGACUAAUGUUGAAAAAUUAGCGGAUGACCUGUGGCUGGGGGUGAAAGGCCAAUCAAACCGGGAGAUAGCUGGUUCUCCCCGAAAGCUAUUUAGGUAGCGCCUCGUGAAUUCAUCUCCGGGGGUAGAGCACUGUUUCGGCUAGGGGGCCAUCCCGGCUUACCAACCCGAUGCAAACUGCGAAUACCGGAGAAUGUUAUCACGGGAGACACACGGCGGGUGCUAACGUCCGUCGUGAAGAGGGAAACAACCCAGACCGCCAGCUAAGGUCCCAAAGUCAUGGUUAAGUGGGAAACGAUGUGGGAAGGCCCAGACAGCCAGGAUGUUGGCUUAGAAGCAGCCAUCAUUUAAAGAAAGCGUAAUAGCUCACUGGUCGAGUCGGCCUGCGCGGAAGAUGUAACGGGGCUAAACCAUGCACCGAAGCUGCGGCAGCGAACGUAUCACCCAAGACAACUUUACGGAGUUGACGAUUGACGGAGCGAAGCGACGUCAAAGCGUUCAUUAAAGUCGAGUUGGCUUAGGGAUACGUUCGUUGGGUAGGGGAGCGUUCUGUAAGCCUGUGAAGGUGUGUCGUGAGGCAUGCUGGAGGUAUCAGAAGUGCGAAUGCUGACAUAAGUAACGAUAAAGCGGGUGAAAAGCCCGCUCGCCGGAAGACCAAGGGUUCCUGUCCAACGUUAAUCGGGGCAGGGUGAGUCGACCCCUAAGGCGAGGCCGAAAGGCGUAGUCGAUGGGAAACGGGUUAAUAUUCCCGUACUUGGUGUUACUGCGAAGGGGGGACGGAGAAGGCUAUGUUGGCCGGGCGACGGUUGUCCCGGUUUAAGCGUGUAGGUGUGUGUUCCAGGUAAAUCCGGUUCACUUUAACACUGAGGCGUGACGACGAGGCACUACGGUGCUGAAGCAACAAAUGCCCUGCUUCCAGGAAAAGCCUCUAAGCAUCAGGUAACACGAAAUCGUACCCCAAACCGACACAGGUGGUCAGGUAGAGAAUACCAAGGCGCUUGAGAGAACUCGGGUGAAGGAACUAGGCAAAAUGGUGCCGUAACUUCGGGAGAAGGCACGCUGACACGUAGGUGAAGUGAUUUACUCAUGGAGCUGAAGUCAGUCGAAGAUACCAGCUGGCUGCAACUGUUUAUUAAAAACACAGCACUGUGCAAACACGAAAGUGGACGUAUACGGUGUGACGCCUGCCCGGUGCCGGAAGGUUAAUUGAUGGGGUCAGCGUAAGCGAAGCUCCUGAUCGAAGCCCCGGUAAACGGCGGCCGUAACUAUAACGGUCCUAAGGUAGCGAAAUUCCUUGUCGGGUAAGUUCCGACCUGCACGAAUGGCGUAAUGAUGGCCAGGCUGUCUCCACCCGAGACUCAGUGAAAUUGAACUCGCUGUGAAGAUGCAGUGUACCCGCGGCAAGACGGAAAGACCCCGUGAACCUUUACUAUAGCUUGACACUGAACAUUGAGCCUUGAUGUGUAGGAUAGGUGGGAGGCUUUGAAGUGUGGACGCCAGUCUGCAUGGAGCCGACCUUGAAAUACCACCCUUUAAUGUUUGAUGUUCUAACGUGGACCCGUAAUCCGGGUUGCGGACAGUGUCUGGUGGGUAGUUUGACUGGGGCGGUCUCCUCCUAAAGAGUAACGGAGGAGCACGAAGGUUGGCUAAUCCUGGUCGGACAUCAGGAGGUUAGUGCAAUGGCAUAAGCCAGCUUGACUGCGAGCGUGACGGCGCGAGCAGGUGCGAAAGCAGGUCAUAGUGAUCCGGUGGUUCUGAAUGGAAGGGCCAUCGCUCAACGGAUAAAAGGUACUCCGGGGAUAACAGGCUGAUACCGCCCAAGAGUUCAUAUCGACGGCGGUGUUUGGCACCUCGAUGUCGGCUCAUCACAUCCUGGGGCUGAAGUAGGUCCCAAGGGUAUGGCUGUUCGCCAUUUAAAGUGGUACGCGAGCUGGGUUUAGAACGUCGUGAGACAGUUCGGUCCCUAUCUGCCGUGGGCGCUGGAGAACUGAGGGGGGCUGCUCCUAGUACGAGAGGACCGGAGUGGACGCAUCACUGGUGUUCGGGUUGUCAUGCCAAUGGCACUGCCCGGUAGCUAAAUGCGGAAGAGAUAAGUGCUGAAAGCAUCUAAGCACGAAACUUGCCCCGAGAUGAGUUCUCCCUGAGACUUAGAGUCUCCUGAAGGAACGUUGAAGACGACGACGUUGAUAGGCCGGGUGUGUAAGCGCAGCGAUGCGUUGAGCUAACCGGUACUAAUGAACCGUGAGGCUUAACCUU
RNAcentral lists this ribosomal RNA (2323 nucleotides) under Salmonella enterica. Its description in RNAcentral is "partial 23S ribosomal RNA". It matches the Rfam family "Bacterial large subunit ribosomal RNA", at positions 711 to 2925 of the family's 2925-position model. RNAcentral also lists the same sequence under 2 other names. Lineage: Bacteria; Pseudomonadati; Pseudomonadota; Gammaproteobacteria; Enterobacterales; Enterobacteriaceae. The record is from RNAcentral.